This 3244-nucleotide long non-coding RNA is filed under the name Sus scrofa (pig). RNAcentral's name for it is "lncRNA (ENSSSCG00040030477.1)". Lineage: Eukaryota; Metazoa; Chordata; Mammalia; Artiodactyla; Suidae. The record is from RNAcentral.
UGUUAAAUAGGCUAGGUUUUGUUUUAAGGUUGAGGGGGGAGGGGAGUAGUUAUUGUCCGUCGAAUAAGUUCCCAAAGGUGCUCCACUCCCAGCCACCUGCCUCCCCGCGGCUCCAGGAGCUGGGUGCACGGAAAAAGAAACUGUCGCUGGGAAAGGAGGGGUUGGAGAAAAGCCGGGAGCCCCCAAGCUCCCCAAGAGGUAGAAAGUUCCUUCUCACCCAGACACUCCGGACUCUCCUCGGCCCCCGCCUGGCAGCCGCGAAACAGAGGUGGCGGCGGGGAUCCAGGGCAGGAAAGGGCGGGGAAGGGGGCGGUGAUUAUUCUCAACCCUCGGCCCAGGGGGAGGAGUGGAGCACCUCUCGGGCACCUGAGGUUCAACUAGGAGAGGAGGGAGGUGUGUGCGGUGGCCAGAAGGAAGGGGAGGCCCGGCGGAUUCGGCGAGAAGGGGAGGGAGGAGAGAGAGAGCCUCCUGGCGCGGACGGAACCCGCCUCUCGUUGCCAAGGUGUCUUCUUGGAAUCGAAGAAGGACACCUGAGGGACCGUUACUAGCCAGAGAGGUGGCAGCGCCGGAGUCACCGAGGCUGCCGUGCUCGUCUAAGGGGAGCAGAGUCCCCACCCCUGACAGCUUGCCGCUGCUGCCCGCCUGCCGCGCCCGGCGAAAACUCGGAAAGAGAUUUCCACUGGGAUGCCCUGCCAGCUGCCACCUUCAUUCGGAAGGCGGUGUGGGGCUAAAGAUCCUGAGGACGAGGAACGGGAAAGAUUCCUUGCUUUACAGCUGCCGCCCCACCAAACCUCUCCCACAUUCUAAGCAAAGGAGGAUUCCUGGGACAGCUGCUCCGAACAGAGUGGAGGCGGGGUUAAUUUGCGCCUAGAUCGCUGAGGGGUGUUUUUCCUCUCCUGAUCUUCUAAUUUGAAAGUUAGGUUCGCAUCGUUCUCAGUUUAAGAGACCAAUUAUAUGGGGAUAGAAACCAGCACAGGUCAUCAUAAUCUGGGCCCCUCCCGUCCACUCCCACUAUUAAGGUUACUGUUAACAUUAUUAACAGUAAAGCAUUCUUCCUGAUGCAUUAGUGGAAAACAUAUUAUAGAGGAAAGUAGCUUUUCACCCUUAGGGUACUCUUUGAAUCCUUAAGGCCUUAAAAAUAGAUAAUGUUUAAAAUACUCGCAGUUAAAAGAAAAAGAAAAGAAAAGAAAAGAACUCGCAGUUAAAAGGAACCAAAAGGUGGGGUCAAAGAAAAGUUACGAAGUUCUACAGAGAAGUCAGAAGAAAAAUUAUAUUGGUUUGAGAGAGGCAAUAGUUUCCCUGAGAAAAAGUUAUUUGAGAUGGGCUUGGAAAGUGAACUGGAUUUUAUCACAUGGAACUAUGGGAGGAGGGAGGCAGCGUGAGAAAAGAGAGGCACAGGAAUGUCCACUGUAGAAGUUUUAAAAGUUUACAACUUUUUGGAGUUCCAGUCAUGGUGCAGUGGAAGCAAAUCUGACUAGGAGCCAUGAGGUUGCAGGUUGGGUCCCUGGCCUUGCUCAGUGGGUUAAGGAUCUGGCAUUGCCAUGAGCUGUGGUGCAGGUCACAGACGCACUAAAAUGAAUUCAACUGUACCGCAUCUCAUGGUUACAAAUGUUUGUUAAAGAUUUGUUUUCCAUGAGUAGGUUUAAUAUCCCAAAUGUUUUUCUCAUGAUCUGAAAUGAUGACUUGUACAUUGCCAGGGUAAAAGGCAGUAUCAACAGCUUGCCAUUCCUGAAAAUUUAAGCACCUCAGGUUUAUAUUCUAAGUCCUUCAAUGAAUGUCAGCAAAAGGGGGAAGUAGGUGUGCCAGCAGGAGAGAGACAACUUUCACUUCACUGUUAACGCAUUCGGAAGGAGGAAGGCAGGCAUUAAGCCUGACUUCUCACAGAAUCUUGUUGCCUGGGUUUGGACAAAUAGUUUAACCUUGAGUAUGUUAACAUAUCUGGCGAAUAAGUGCUAGUAGAAUAUUCACUAACAAAUAAAUGUCCUCCAUUGAGAAGAAACAGAUAAUAAUAGUGAAACACCCUAAACACAGAGUGGUCACAGGUAUUCAAUCUAAAUGAUCUAAGGUUAAGUUUUGUGUCUGUCAUGGAUUUGUCAGCUCCCUAUUAACGCUGUUCUACUGGUGAAACAAAAGGAGACAUAAGACAAUUAGCCAACUGUUGUUUACAAUUUUUCAGAAUUAUUCAGUCUCCUGCUUUACUUUGCCUCUGGUUACAGUAAAAUAGUUGGCAAUAAUCAGAGGUUCACUGCAGAAGGAAGGACGAGGAAAACUUCACUUCUAGCUAAGUCACAGUUAAAACAACAGUAGCUGUGGAUUAUCGUGUAGGUGUGAAGAAUACAGCCGUUCAGUUCCCCCUCAUGGCUCAGCGAUUAAUGAACCUGACUAGUAUCCACAAAGAGGAGGGUUUGAUCCCUGGCCUCACUCAGUGGGUUAAGGAUCCAGCAUUGCCAUCAGCUGUGGUGUAGGUCACAGAUGCGGCGCAGAUUCUCCGUUGCUGUGGCUGUGGUGUAGGCUGGCAGCUGUAGCUCUGGUCUGACCCCCUAGCCUGGGAACCUCCAUGUGCCCAGGGUAUGGCCCUAAAAAGACAAAAAAAAAAAAAAAGAGUACAGCCAUGGAGUGCUUCAGGUGAACUAUUAAGCUCCAUCAUGGCACAAUACUUUGAACAUUGUAUAUACACAAUACAUACUUGGAUUGAGUUAAAACUCUAAAGUGACUUGCUUUAAUUUUUCUAUCCUGAAAACCCUUGCUUGGAGUUCCCAUCGUGGCUCAGUGGUUAAUGAAUCCGACUAGGAACCAUGAGGUUUCGGGUUUGAUCCCUGGCCUUGCUCAGUGGGUUUAGGAUCUGGCGUCGCCAUGAGCUGGGGUGUAGGUUGCAGACACGGCUAGGAUCCUGCAUUGCUGUGGCUCUGGCAUAGGCCAGUGGCCACAGCUCCGAUUAGACCCCUAGCCUGGGAACCUCCAUAUGCCACGGGUGCGGCCCUAGGAAAGGCAAAAAGACCAAAAAAAAAAACCUUGCUUGAGUCUAUACAACUACCACUAGUUAGAGAAAGGAAAUUCCUAGUAUAAAAGACUAAUAUGGAAAGCAGUUUUAUCAUUUGUUAAAAUUUGUUUAUAUUUUGGGUACCUUUAUGUAGCCAAAGUCUAGUCAAAAGACUUAACAGGAACUAUCAGCAGAUGGUUUUAUAGGACUGCCUUAUUUGUAUACCCAUAUCCUACACGCAACUCACAAAAAAAGAAAAAGGGG